GAGUUUGAUCCUGGCUCAGAUUGAACGCUGGCGGCAUGCCUUACACAUGCAAGUCGAACGGCAGCAUGAUCUAGCUUGCUAGAUUGAUGGCGAGUGGCGAACGGGUGAGUAAUACAUCGGAACGUGCCCUGUAGUGGGGGAUAACUAGUCGAAAGAUUAGCUAAUACCGCAUACGACCUGAGGGUGAAAGUGGGGGACCGCAAGGCCUCAUGCUAUAGGAGCGGCCGAUGUCUGAUUAGCUAGUUGGUGGGGUAAAGGCCCACCAAGGCGACGAUCAGUAGCUGGUCUGAGAGGACGAUCAGCCACACUGGGACUGAGACACGGCCCAGACUCCUACGGGAGGCAGCAGUGGGAAUUUGGACAAUGGGCGAAAGCCUGAUCCAGCAAUGCCGCGUGUGUGAAGAAGGCCUCGG
RNAcentral lists this ribosomal RNA (413 nucleotides) under uncultured microorganism. RNAcentral's name for it is "bacterial SSU rRNA". It matches the Rfam family "Bacterial small subunit ribosomal RNA", at positions 9 to 420 of the family's 1533-position model. The record is from RNAcentral.